RNAcentral lists this long non-coding RNA (6726 nucleotides) under Lynx pardinus (Iberian lynx). Lineage: Eukaryota; Metazoa; Chordata; Mammalia; Carnivora; Felidae. The record is from RNAcentral.
CUUUUUUUCUGGCAAAACUCUUGCAAGGCUGUUACUGCUUCAUCAGAAAGGGCUAGAACCAUGUCUGGAAGGUUAUCCACAAACCCCGCCCAUGCAGCGCAGUGGGAGUAUGCUCAGUACUCACGCACACGGGUCCUGAGAGAAGGAUGCUCUGAGGUAGUACUGGUGUGGGAGGCAGAGAGGGCCUGGGUAUGUCUCUGAAUAAAGGAGGGAAGAGGGUGGAGAGAUUGCUCCAAACCAAUUCCAAGACAAUAAAAUCCCGUUAUUCUAUGACUCAUUACACGCGUUUGAAUCCAACAACAGGUCAAAACACAUAACUUGAACUAUCAUUACAGGACACAGGACAAGUCUCCUAGAAGCAUCUUAUACUAAGGUCUGGGUGUGUUUCUCACUACCGGCAUCACCACUGUUGCACUGCACCAUUUCUUUCUUUGGAGGGGCCUAAACCACUGAGGGGAGAACUCUUUGGGUCAGUUAGUUUAGAAAAGAGAUCUGCCAAACUGCUUGUUCUCAGGGUGAAAAAGAUACUGAUUAGCCGGUAGGCCACAGUUCUGAAGCCCUCAUACUUUAAAGUAAUGUAAUUCUAAGCUUCCAUGUCUUGUAAAGAGCUGUUCACUGACUUGGCUCCCAAGCAGGAAGAAAGGGGGGUGAACGGUGCAAUGAAAACAAGAAUUCGUUCUCUUCCUUCCAAUUUUUUGAUACAAAUACGCCCUUGUUUCUCCAGUUGCAUUUUCUCACCACUCUCCCAUACUUUCCUAAUACUCUGCAUCAUCUGAUGAUGUCAAAUAAGCUAUAGGAUAUAAGAUCUUCAAAAUGUCAGCAGUAAAGUGCUUCUUGUGGCUUUUUUUCCUGGCCUAUCUGUAAAUGGCACCAGGAAAAAUCAAUCUAUUUUUAUGAGUCGUCCAACCCAGCUGGGUCUACUUAAGAAAAAUCUCCAGAUGAAAUUUAUUGAGAUGUUCCUAAAAUGCCUCCUAUUUACGUAUUACAAAUGAAACAUUAUUCAGAAUUUGGAAGUGAUUUCUGGAGUAUUUGAGGCUUUUCAUUUUGAGCCUGAAGGAACAGCCCAUAAUGAAAACUUACCGAUGGAGUUGAUAUUUGAUCACAUCUGUGUUAAUUUGGGACUGCUAACUUAUCAUUAAUAAAGCAUUUGGCUAGAAAACGAUGGCCAUAUUGACGGUCUGGUAACUUUUUUCUCCAUUUUAUGCCACAAUAACUGCCCAGUCUUAUUGUUGCCCAUUAUGAAUGCAUAAAGUUUUAUAGCCUAAGUAAUGUCAAAUGACGCAGUGUCAAGAAGACCUGGAGACAAGUUGGGAGGGUUUAGAUGGAAAAAGAAGUUGUGUGGUCCAUGCCAGCCUUGCUUGUAGUUUUACUAGGUAUUGAUCCCUUUUUUACAUACUGAUUUAGCAUCCUGAAUUAUGAUGCAGUAUUAAAUUUAAACACCACUUGAGAGCUUGUACCUCAAAGGUUGCUCUGUGUCACAACCACUUUUGACUCUGAUGGUGUCUGCCACUCUAGAGGAGGUGUUUUAUGAGAACUGUCCAUAAAAGACUGCAUGGCGGUUAGCUCUGCAGUGGAGAGAACAUGCAGUGCUUUAUAAGCAUCUGGAGGGCCAGCAAGCAUGAGCAGUCCGGUACACCAAAAAUAUUCACAAAAUCAGAGUCUUGAAAGGAACUUCCAGAGAUCAACCAGAGGCAACAGACUUGUACAUUCACUAAAACUUCAGAAAAGAGGUUUCCACAGACUUCCUUGAUAACAAAGUUUAUUAUGCAAGCCUAAUCCUAGAGGAAACUUUCCCUACACCUCCCCAAGCCUCUGCACUUCACACUCAUUCCUUUUUCUCCCAUAUCGAGGGCCAGUGAAAUCCCACCUCGUCUACCACAGAAGAAAGUGGAGUAUAAUGUAUUGGUCAAGCUUUUCAAAAAUUAGGAGUUCUUAAAUAUUUAACUAGGUAUAAUGCAUUACACUCCAGGUGUUAUUUGUAUAGUGUCUAUUUGUUGCAUAUGCACCAAGGCUAUUUUUAUGAGUGAAAUAUAUCUGAACACCAUGCUAGAACUUUUUUUUUUUUUUAGUCAGCAAGCUGGAUUGAGUUCUAGGGUCUUUUUUUUAAAUAGGUGUCAGUUAGUUGCCAGUAUUGCAAAACACAUGCUAUGUUCCUAGCAUAUUCCUAUGAUGUUUAAUGUCCAAAUAUAGAAAAGAAGGGGAAAGAGGGAAGGAGGGAAGGAUAGAAAGAGGGAGAGAAGGAGAGACAGAGAGAGGGAAGGGGAAGAGGGAAGGAGGGAGAGAGGAAGAAGGAUGAAAGGAAGGAAGGAAGAGAGGGAGGGAGGGAGGGAGGGAGGAAAUUAUUUGUCCAUUGAUUUUAGAUCUGCAUGGAACUCACUCCCGCACUUUUUUAGUCUGAUGUGGGGCCAUCCUGUUUCUCAUUGCUCGUCACUGAGGCAAUGCAGGGACAGGGGAAGGAGCAAACAGCCAGUGGACCACAGAUGGCUUUGUGUUCCAUGCAGGACCAUGGAUAGCUUUGUGCUCCGUUGCUGGGUCUAGAUUCCAGGAGAGCACAGGAAGAGCACAGAGAAGAUAAUGUGAGAACAGAAGGUGAUUUAUUCAUGGCAAUCUAAAAUGAUUUCCUUCUUGUUCACCUUUCCUUCCAAUGCCUUAGGCAAAUCUAUUAAUUCUUCCCUUACAGUGGUAAAAGAACAAAACCAAAAUAAGGUAAGGUGUGGAUUUUCUCUUCUGCAGUAUGAAAAUAUAUAGGUUUCAGAAACGAAACAGUUCAUUCAUAUCUAGAAUCCAUUAAUUGAUGGUAUUUAUUAAAAUGCAGUAAUUCAUCAGGUUUUACAAAGAAUUAAGCUAUGGAUCGCUAACAAAUUAAAUAUAACUUUUUAUUUCGAUCAAAUGGCUAGCUCACUGUACCAUGUUUUACACAACUAUCACAUUUAAUCUUCACCCAAUGGAAUAGGCAGUUGUUCUCAAAGUGCCUGGAGGUUCCUCGACCAGCAGCAUUACUCAGGAACGUGUUAGAAAUGUAAAUUCAGAGGCCUCACCUCAGACCUAUUGAAUCAGAAACUCCAGGGAUAGGACUAGCCAUCCAUGUUUUAACAAGCCUUCUGACACACAGGACAGUUGAGAAUCACCGGGCUAUGGAGUAUUCUCAUUCUAGAGUUAAGAAAACUGAGGCACGAAGACUUUAAGCAAUUUUACCAAUACCACAUAGUGAGAAACCAGUCAAGACUACAUGACUCCAAAGCCCUUGCUCUCAACUAUGAGGUUAUGCUGCAUGAUGGACUCAGUUUACUUAGGAAAACAGUGUCAAGAAUAUAGACAAAUUGGGAAAUAUACUCCAGAGAAAGAAUUUAGAUUUAAAAUAAUAAUAAUAAUAAUAACAUAUGGCUUGAAACAUGUCUUGCUUGGCUUAAUUUCUGUCUCUAAAAAUCUUGAACUGAAAACAUUCUGACUCAAAGUGUUGAAGUCAAAUCAGGUAGGUGAUGGGAAAGAAUGCUUGGACUCAGAAGGUCCAGCGAGCAGAUGGCUUCUGUCCCAUGUGACAAGGCAGCCACUAGACUAAAUGCCAGCAGAAUGAUGCUACAUCAAAAUGAUCUCUAGGGGCACCUGGGUGGCUCAGUCGGUUAAGAAGUUAAGCAUCUGACUUCAGCACAGGUCAUGAUCUUGCGGUUCGUGAGUUCGAGCCCCACGUCAGGCUCUGUGCUGACAGCUCAGAGCCUGGAACCUGCUUCGGAUUCUGUGUCUCCCUCUCUCUCUGCCCCUCCCCCGCUCAUGCUCUGUGUCUUUCUCUCUCAAAAAUAAAUAAACGUUUUUUAAAAAUCUCUAAAUUCACUAAAGAAAAGCCAGGAAUCCCAACUUGUGAGGGAAAAUUUCCAACUUUAGCUAUUUAGCUAAAACAUUAGCUAUUAAUUCAUGAAUUUUGAAAGAAGUAUGCCGAUUUUUUUAACUAUGGGUUUUGCUUACAGCAUGCCAUUUUGUAACCUUUCACUGAGAAAUCCUCACAUUUAAUGAACACAGAUCAAAUGACUGAGGGUAUAUAAGGUUUGUGAAAAAUAUGUGUGGGAAAAAGUGUGGGAAAUUGAACGUAUGGAACUGUGCUAAGUGAUCACAUAAUCAAAAGUGGGCUUAAACCUUAUGGCUAUGUCAUACUGGUCCCUUUUAUUAACUCACAGUUUGGAACAGUGAUUCCUAAUAUCACCGCAUUUGUAUAAUAUUCAUUGAGAUUGUGUGACUGCAAACCCUGAUUUCACAAGAAACUGCUUGAGUGAAUGUUGGAAAAUAAGCUUUUGAGGCAUAUGUCAAGUGUUUAUGUGGGCACCAUUUUAAAUUCUCACUGAGAAAGCCACUCUAUGGACUGAAAAACAUUCAGAGGAAGCAGGUUUGGAAAGGUUACUACAAAAUCCAUCUCAACUGCAAACAGAAGUGAUUUUAAUGCCUGUUAUUUUGGAAGCAGUUCAAAGUUGUUUUUUCCAUUGUAAAUAGCAUUAAAGUGCUCUGUGGAGGCAAGUAUUACUUUUUUCUUGGCCCACUGCACUUCAGUAAUGGCUCUUAUACACUGAAGGCACAACAAUAAGACUCAGGAAGUUAUGCACAGUAUAUCAGGGACAGCAGAGGAGAAGAGGGAGGGGAGAGGAGGUCAUAUGGUAAGUAUAGAAAAGAAAAAUUUGGGGGUGGAGAUGCUGUGCAUGCGAAUACCAGCCAAGACAGGGAACAUCUGGAAAACCUGCUCUGUAUUAUGUGGUCAUUCCACAAACUUUUCCAAGGAAUCACAUAAGGAGAAUAUUAUAUUUUAAUUAGAGUUGGGACUGAUCCAGAGAAAGGGGGGAAAAAGGAUGGUUUGGUGAACGAGCUGCAUUUUAGUUUGGCUGGGUCCAUGAAAUGCAAUUAACCACUUAGUUCCCUCUAGAGGUGCUCAGCCUAUUCCAAUGGCUCAGCGACUUAAUGAAACAUCACACUGGACUCUUUCUUGCUUAGCCUUAACCUGUUAAAAGGAGAGGAGAAGUAAUAGGUGAGUGUCAAUUGAAGAAAAGAGGUCAAACCUGGGACCUUUUCGUCAGGAGACCCCAGAAAGCCAAUAUGAUACCCUUGUCUCCCUCUGCCUUUCUUAUUUAUGUCACAUGGCAAGUUUAUCAGUUAUUCUCUGAAGGUAACUGGGAAAGAAUAGAUAUAUGAAUGUGAUGAGGUAUGUAAUUUAUUUAAGGUAAUAUUCUAUUUAAUUUUAUGAGAAAACACAAGUAUUAUGCCAAAAAAAAUAAAAUAUUCCACGUCUUGAGUCCUCCUUAAUAGAAAUUAAAUACAUUUUAAAUGCUAAUAAUUUAUUGUUUUUAGUUUAGCAUCUAAAAAAUUAAAUUUAAUGUAUCUAAUAUUAAUAGAAAGGAGUGAAAUAAAUAUUUCUUAGAACUUUGUUGUUGUUUACAAAUUCAUCAUCAUACAUUUAUUGAGUCCAAACUACAUAGUGGGAAUUGUCCUAGAAGAACCAACCUCUCCACUCAAGGGACUAGCAGUCCAGUAAGAGAGACAUGGCAUAGAGCCUUGAAAUGUUAAUGACAAUAUAAGACAAUGAUAUAUAUAAUGGCAGUCAGUAAAUUGCCAAGCUAAUGGUUUAGAAAGAAGCACCAUGGGCUCUAGGGGUAGAGAAAGCAGGGAUGGCUUCCUGAGAGAAGUAGUGAUUGUCUGGUCCUUGAAGGCUGGAUAGUAUCUGGAUAAGUGGAGAGGAGCCAGAGGAUCAAGCAGCGAGUGGUCUAUGCUCUGAGCAAAUGCCCAGGAAGGCGUUAAGAGUGUUCAAAGGGCAGAUGAUAGUGGUUGAGAAGAGGCUCCUGGAAGUGACACAGGGAGGGUGACAUUUUAAAGGAGUCAGUGGCCAGAAUAUAUAAGGCAUUGACAAAUGUCCUAGAUAAAGCAUUAUAGGGAUCGCAAAAGAUGUUGUUUGAGGAAGGAUCCCUGGUGUAGGGAAGAAAAGCUUAUAAUUGAAAAGGUCCAAAAUUAGUAUCUAGAGAUUUAAGGAGUACACAUACUGAACAUAUACCAGGAAUUACAAAAGUGGGAUACUUCCAAAUGUUUAAGGGAUGUUUUUUUCUUCAACGGUAUCUCUGUGGCACAUUACAGUUUGGACAUGAUGAUGUCCACAGUGAUUUCUCUGUUUCCCUUCCUUUAUACCCCAGACCCCAAAUUAUUAUGCCAUCUGAAAUAGUCUAAAUUCCUGACCCCUUGCAUUUUGACCCCAUGCCAAUAACAUGUCAACUCCCUUUCUUUCCUCUUUAAGCAUUAUCUUCUCCAGACAGUAUUUGGCCCUUAUACUUGAACACCAGACUUUGCAAAAGUUGGAGAAAUCUUGCAAAGAAGGAACAUGGCAUCCGAUUUUUGGACUCACCCUCCUUCGAUACUCUUCCAGCUGCUGUGUGUAUACAUACUGCUUGAUUUUAUUUAAUAAGAAAGCUCAAAAUGUUUCCCAAUUCAGAACAUAACCCUGCAUGCUGUUCCCUCUAGUCUAACCAGAAAUCCCAUUCUCCUCCUCCUCUAACUCAAUAAACCAAAUCUAAUUGGAGAAUAAUUAUAAAAUACACUGAUGUGCAAUUUGUUACACUAACCCAAUAAUUAAUUAAUAUGCUACUUAUGGUUCGGAAGAGCUCUUAAGACACAGCACAAAUACUGCUAGAUGAAAGAGAAUACCAAAGACAUAAACCAGGGGCAGUAUCUUUAUAUAAGACAGGCCAGGAGAUAAAGGCAAGA